RNAcentral lists this ribosomal RNA (680 nucleotides) under uncultured Inocybe. RNAcentral describes it as "eukaryotic LSU rRNA". The stretch from base 274 to 427 matches the Rfam family "5.8S ribosomal RNA". Lineage: Eukaryota; Fungi; Basidiomycota; Agaricomycetes; Agaricales; Cortinariaceae. The record is from RNAcentral.
CUUGGUCAUUUAGAGGAAGUAAAAGUCGUAACAAGGUUUCCGUAGGUGAACCUGCGGAAGGAUCAUUAUUGAAAUAAACAUUUGAUAGGCUGUUGCUGGCCCUUCUUGGGUAGUGUGCACGCUUGUCAUUUAUUUAUCUAUUUCCACCUGUGCACCUUUUUGUAGACCUUAGAGAAGACUGCUGUGCGGGCCUCUCUAGGUUCUAUGUUACUCACAUACUCCUAUGAAUGUAAUAGAAUGUUGAUCUGGGUCUUUGCCCAUAAAGUUAUAUACAACUUUCAGCAAUGGAUCUCUUGGCUCUCGCAUCGAUGAAGAACGCAGCGAAAUGCGAUAAGUAAUGUGAAUUGCAGAAUUCAGUGAAUCAUCGAAUCUUUGAACGCAUCUUGCGCUCCUUGGUAUUCCAAGGAGCAUGCCUGUUUGAGUGUCAUUUAUAUAUCUCAAUCCUGCAUCCGUGAAAAAAAGGGUGUCGGGCUUGGACUUGGGGGUUACAGGCUCUGCUAUUGCAGUCUGCUCUCCUGAAAUACAUGGAGGCCCCUCCCCUGUUUUAAAGGUGUGAUAUAUCUAUCUGCAUCUAAAAUCUUGGGGGGUGUUUGCCGCUGAGGGGGAUGGCUUGUUGAUAAACUUGACCUCAAAUCAGGUAGGACCACCCGCUGAACUUAAGCAUAUCAAUAAGCGGAGGA